This 497-nucleotide ribosomal RNA is filed under the name uncultured bacterium. RNAcentral describes it as "partial 16S ribosomal RNA". It matches the Rfam family "Bacterial small subunit ribosomal RNA", at positions 28 to 507 of the family's 1533-position model. The record is from RNAcentral.
GAUGAACGCUGGCGGCGUGCCUAAUACAUGCAAGUCGAGCGAACAGACGAGGAGCUUGCUCCUCUGACGUUAGCGGCGGACGGGUGAGUAACACGUGGAUAACCUACCUAUAAGACUGGGAUAACUUCGGGAAACCGGAGCUAAUACCGGAUGAUAUAUUGAACCGCAUGGUUCAAUAGUGAAAGACGGUUUUGCUGUCACUUAUAGAUGGAUCCGCCCCCCAUUAGCUAGUUGGUAAGGUAACGGCUUACCAAGGCAACGAUGCGGAGCCGACCUGAGAGGGUGAUCCGCCAGACUGGAACUGAGACACGGUCCAGACACCUACGGGAGGCAGCAGUAGGGAAUCUUCCGCAAUGGGCGAAAGCCUGACGGAGCAACGCCGCGUGAGUGAUGAAGGUCUUCGGAUCGUAAAACUCUGUUAUUAGGGAAGAACAAAUGUGUAAGUAACUAUGCACGUCUUGACGGUACCUAAUCAGAAAGCCACGGCUAACUACGUG